GACGUAGGAUGCAAGCGUUGUCCGGAUUCAUUGGGCGUAAAGAGUUCGUAGGCGGUUUCUUAAGUCUGAUGUGAAAGCCCACGGCUCAACCGUGGAGGGUCAUUGGAAACUGGGGAACUUGAGUGCAGAAGAGGAAAGUGGAAUUCCAAGUGUAGCGGUGAAAUGCGUAGAGAUUUGGAGGAACACCAGUGGCGAAGGCGACUUUCUGGUCUGUAACUGACACUGAGGCGCGAAAGCGUGGGGAGCGAACAGG
Molecule: ribosomal RNA, 253 nt
Filed under: uncultured bacterium
Lineage: Bacteria
Description: partial 16S ribosomal RNA
Rfam family: Bacterial small subunit ribosomal RNA
Source: RNAcentral